Molecule: ribosomal RNA, 584 nt
Filed under: uncultured bacterium
Lineage: Bacteria
Description: bacterial SSU rRNA
Rfam family: Bacterial small subunit ribosomal RNA
Source: RNAcentral
AAUGAACGCUGGCGGCGUGCUUAACACAUGCAAGUUCGAACGAUGAAACCUUAGCUUGCUAAGGUGGAUUAGUGGCGCACGGGUGAGUAAUAUAUAGAUAACGUGCCUCCGAGACUGGGAUAGCCAUUGGAAACGAUGAUUAAUACUAGAUACUCCUUCUAACUAUAAAGUUAGUCGGGAAAGUUUUUCGCUCGGAGAUCGGUCUAUAUCCCAUCAGUUAGUUGGUAGUGUAAGAGACUACCAAGACAAUGACGGGUAGCGGGUUUGAGAGGAUGAUCCGCCACACUGGUACUGAGACACGGACCAGACUCCUACGGGAGGCAGCAGUGAGGAAUAUUGCACAAUGGGGGGAACCCUGAUGCAGCAACGCCGCGUGGAGGAUGACGCAUUUCGGUGUGUAAACUCCUUUUAUAUGUCAAGAAGAUGACGGUAGCAUAUGAAUAAGCACCGGCUAACUCCGUGCCAGCAGCCGCGGUAAUACGGAGGGUGCAAGCGUUAUUCGGAAUCACUGGGCGUAAAGGACACGUAGGCGGGAGGCCAAGUCUGAUGUGAAAUCCUAUGGCUUAACCAUAGAAACAGCCAUU